CUCCGGUGGUAUGAGAUGGACCCGCGUCUGAUUAGCUAGUUGGUGGGGUAACGGCCUACCAAGGCGACGAUCAGUAGCCGACCUGAGAGGGUGACCGGCCACAUUGGGACUGAGACACGGCCCAAACUCCUACGGGAGGCAGCAGUGGGGAAUAUUGCACAAUGGGGGAAACCCUGAUGCAGCGACGCCGCGUGAGCGAUGAAGUAUUUCGGUAUGUAAAGCUCUAUCAGCAGGGAAGAAAAUGACGGUACCUGACUAAGAAGCCCCGGCUAAAUACGUGCCAGCAGCCGCGGUAAUACGUAUGGUGCAAGCGUUAUCCGGAUUUACUGGGUGUAAAGGGAGCGUAGACGGUUGUGUAAGUCUGAUGUGAAAGCCCGGGGCUCAACCCCGGGACUGCAUUGGAAACUAUGUAACUAGAGUGUCGGAGAGGUAAGCGGAAUUCCUAGUGUAGCGGUGAAAUGCGUAGAUAUUAGGAGGAACACCAGUGGCGAAGGCGGCUUACUGGACGAUCACUGACGUUGAGGCUCGAAAGCGUGGGGAGCAAACAGAAUUAGAUACCCUGGUAGUCCACGCCGUAAACGAUGACUACUAGGUGUCGGGGAGCAAAGCUCUUCGGUGCCGCAGCAAACGCAAUAAGUAGUCCACCUGGGGAGUACGUUCGCAAGAAAUGAAACUCAAAGGAAUUGACGGGGACCCGCACAAGCGGUGGAGCAUGUGGUUUAAAUUCGAAGCAACGCGAAGAGCCUUACCUGGUCUUGACAUCCCGGUGACCGGCAAGUAAUGUUGCCUUUCCUUCGGGACACCGGUGACAGGUGGUGCAUGGUUGUCGUCAGCUCGUGUCGUGAGAUGUUGGGUUAAGUCCCGCAACGAGCGCAACCCCUAUCUUCAGUAGCCAGCAUUUAAGGUGGGCACUCUGGAGAGACUGCCAGGGAUAACCUGGAGGAAGGUGGGGAUGACGUCAAAUCAUCAUGCCCCUUAUGACCAGGGCUACACACGUGCUACAAUGGCGUAAACAAAGGGAAGCGAACCUGUGAGGGGAAGCAAAUCUCAAAAAUAACGUCUCAGUUCGGAUUGUAGUCUGCAACUCGACUACAUGAAGCUGGAAUCGCUAGUAAUCGCGAAUCAGCAUGUCGCGGUGAAUACGUACCCGGGUCUUGCACACACCGCCCGUCA
This 1173-nucleotide ribosomal RNA is filed under the name uncultured bacterium. Its description in RNAcentral is "bacterial SSU rRNA". It matches the Rfam family "Bacterial small subunit ribosomal RNA", at positions 210 to 1399 of the family's 1533-position model. The record is from RNAcentral.